This 253-nucleotide ribosomal RNA is filed under the name uncultured bacterium. RNAcentral's name for it is "partial 16S ribosomal RNA". It matches the Rfam family "Bacterial small subunit ribosomal RNA", at positions 524 to 776 of the family's 1533-position model. The record is from RNAcentral.
UACGGAGGGUGCAAGCGUUGUUCGGAAUCACUGGGCGUAAAGCGCGUGUAGGCGGCCUUCUAAGUCUGAUGUGAAAGCCCGGGGCUCAACCCCGGAAGUGCAUUGGAUACUGGGAGGCUGGAGUACCGGAGAGGAGGGUGGAAUUCCUGGUGUAGCGGUGAAAUGCGUAGAUAUCAGGAGGAACACCGGUGGCGAAGGCGGCCCUCUGGACGGAUACUGACGCUGAGACGCGACAGCGUGGGGAGCAAACAGG